AACAAUAGCGAAUAAUAAAACAAAUAUUCAAUAAACAUUACGGGCUAAAUGGCUUAAGCUACGAAGAUGUAAUUCGUGUAGUUGACGAAGUAAAAGAAGUAACGGGAGCAAAAGGCGGAUUUCCCAGCCUCGUUGAAAUGGAAACGGCAUUAGAAAGGCAUACAUUUCUAGGCAAAGUCUUACGCAUCACCCAAGGAGCUGAUGCUGACGAUAAAAUAAUGGGAUUGGUAAGAAAAAAAAUCGAAUUAUGUGAACUAAAACCAUAUGGCAUAAACUUUGACAAUUUACGUGAUAUUAUUAUCAAAGCAAGACUGGCAAAGCGUAUAGAUAAAUCCACUGAUGUAAAGGCUCAAUUAAA
Molecule: long non-coding RNA, 358 nt
Organism: Adelges cooleyi (spruce gall adelgid)
Lineage: Eukaryota; Metazoa; Arthropoda; Insecta; Hemiptera; Adelgidae
Exons: 3
Source: RefSeq, a predicted model, not a curated record